Molecule: ribosomal RNA, 638 nt
Filed under: uncultured bacterium
Lineage: Bacteria
Description: bacterial SSU rRNA
Rfam family: Bacterial small subunit ribosomal RNA
Source: RNAcentral
GGAGACUUGAUAUAGGAGGAGUCUGCGGCACAUUAGCUAGUAGGUGAGGUAAGAGCUCACCUAGGCGACGAUGUGUAGCCGGUCUGAGAGGAUGAACGGCCACAAUGGAACUGAGACACGGUCCAUACUCCUACGGGAGGCAGCAGUGGGGAAUAUUGCACAAUGGGGGAAACCCUGAUGCAGCAACGCCGCGUGAGUGAAGAAGGUUUUCGGAUUGUAAAGCUCUGUUAGCAGGGAAGAGGAAGGACGGUACCUGCAGAGGAAGCCACGGCUAACUACGUGCCAGCAGCCGCGGUAAUACGUAGGUGGCAAGCGUUGUUCGGAAUAACUGGGCGUAAAGGAUGCGUAGGCGGUUGAGUAAGUUAUGUGUUAAAUAUAUAGGCUUAACCUGUAGAAAGCACAUAAAACUGUUUAACUAGAGUGCAGGAGAGGUAAGUGGAAUUCCUAGUGUAGCGGUGAAAUGCGUAGAGAUUAGGAAGAACACCAGUGGCGAAGGCGACUUACUGGACUGUAACUGACGCUGAGGCAUGAGAGCAUGGGGAGCAAACAGGAUUAGAUACCCUGGUAGUCCAUGCUGUAAACGAUGGGUACUAGGUGUGGGUUGUGAAUAACAAUCCGUGCCGUCGCAAACGCAAUAA